CCUGAAGUGGGGGAUAACCAUUGGAAACGAUGGCUAAUACCGCAUAAUACCUACGGGUCAAAGAGGGGGACCUUCGGGCCUCUCGCGUCAGGAUAUGCCUAGGUGGGAUUAGCUAGUUGGUGAGGUAAUGGCUCACCAAGGCGACGAUCCCUAGCUGGUCUGAGAGGAUGAUCAGCCACACUGGAACUGAGACACGGUCCAGACUCCUACGGGAGGCAGCAGUGGGGAAUAUUGCACAAUGGGCGCAAGCCUGAUGCAGCCAUGCCGCGUGUGUGAAGAAGGCCUUCGGGUUGUAAAGCACUUUCAGUCGUGAGGAAGGUAGUGUAGUUAAUAGCUGCAUUAUUUGACGUUAGCGACAGAAGAAGCACCGGGCUAACUCCGUGCCAGCAGCCGCGGUAAUACGGAGGGUGCGAGCGUUAAUCGGAAUUACUGGGCGUAAAGCGCAUGCAGGUGGUUUGUUAAGUCAGAUGUGAAAGCCCGGGGCUCAACCUCGGAAUAGCAUUUGAAACUGGCAGACUAGAGUACUGUAGAGGGGGGUAGAAUUUCAGGUGUAGCGGUGAAAUGCGUAGAGAUCUGAAGGAAUACCGGUGGCGAAGGCGGCCCCCUGGACAGAUACUGACACUCAGAUGCGAAAGCGUGGGGAGCAAACAGGAUUAGAUACCCUGGUAGUCCACGCCGUAAACGAUGUCUACUUGGAGGUUGUGGCCUUGAGCCGUGGCUUUCGGAGCUAACGCGUUAAGUAGACCGCCUGGGGAGUACGGUCGCAAGAUUAAAACUCAAAUGAAUUGACGGGGGCCCGCACAAGCGGUGGAGCAUGUGGUUUAAUUCGAUGCAACGCGAAGAACCUUACCUACUCUUGACAUCCAGAGAACUUUCCAGAGAUGGAUUGGUGCCUUCGGGAACUCUGAGACAGGUGCUGCAUGGCUGUCGUCAGCUCGUGUUGUGAAAUGUUGGGUUAAGUCCCGCAACGAGCGCAACCCUUAUCCUUGUUUGCCAGCACUUCGGGUGGGAACUCCAGGGAGACUGCCGGUGAUAAACCGGAGGAAGGUGGGGACGACGU
RNAcentral lists this ribosomal RNA (1060 nucleotides) under Vibrio harveyi. RNAcentral's name for it is "bacterial SSU rRNA". It matches the Rfam family "Bacterial small subunit ribosomal RNA", at positions 130 to 1185 of the family's 1533-position model. The record is from RNAcentral. Lineage: Bacteria; Pseudomonadati; Pseudomonadota; Gammaproteobacteria; Vibrionales; Vibrionaceae.